UAACCACACCUUUUGACACUACUAAAGGCAGUUUUUGCUAGCAAUCUUAGAGUACCAUGUUAUCAUUGUCCUUGUUGACUAAGUUUCAUUUCUACUUGAGUUAUAAUGAGCCAGCCUUAACAACAAUGACUUUUAGUGCACUAAAGUUUUUAAUGAGAGAAACAAUUCCAUUAAACUUGCCUUGUACUUUGUAGGUUUUCUUGGUUAAUCCUCUUUAAUAACCAUGAUUGGCUGUAAAUUUGGUCAACUUAGCUACUUUGACUGAUUUACAUGUUAGAAUAUUUGGCCUGAUCAAUGUAAAUUCUAGAGGGUUUGCAAAGGUGGUAAGCUGAUUGCCUUUUUCUUUAUGUCAUGCAGUAUGAUGACAUGCCCAUAGAUGCUUUAAUGGAACUCGUGCAACAAAUUGUUGCAUUUCACAUGAAGCAUAAUGCGGAGCCAGAAGCUGUAGAUCUUCUGAUGGAGGUGGAAGAUCUUGAUCUAUUGAUUGAGCACGUUGAUGCUACAAAUUACAAAAGGGCAUGCUUGUAUCUUACUAGUUCUUCUAGACUACAGGCCUUUACAAUAUAAUUGCUCACGAGCAUGGUUUUGAAAACUGACUUGAACCGCUUGGGUCUUGCUAUAGGGAGCUGUACCGGCAUCGAAUCGGAUCGGUUCAGUCCUUAUUUUCGGCAUCUAAAAAUAAAAAAAGUAUUAUGAACCGUCCGGUUCGGGCUUGAACUGGGUAGCUCGGCUCAUAUUGGGCUGAUUUUAUGUCUGGGACAUAGAGAAGAAGUCUUUCGAGACUUCUCUGUGAUUCUCAAUCUCUCUCUCUCUUUCUCACUUUCUAGCACCGAGAGCAAUAGGAAAACUCUAGGAAAAUGUGGAUUAAAGGUAUGUUUCUUCUUAGCUCUCUUUCCUCUCUUCCCCUCUUCUUUUUUUCUUUCUGAAAAUUCAUGAAAAAUAGAAAAACAAGGUAUCAGAGUGAUUAUUUAGGAUAUCUAAUCUAUAUAUUGAUUAUUUAGGAUGCUAAAUAAAAUAAUGUCAUAUUUUGAUUUGUGUCACAUGUGAUUAAAGGUGUAUCGUAGUGAUAUGAAUAUUAAUUAAUAUCACUAAAUAUCAAUUUGGACUUCAAAACAUUCAAUAAUUCAUAAAAAUUUGAUUGGACAAUCCAAAAAAAAAAAUCUAAAAAAAUUAGCAUGCUGGUUUAGCCGGCACGCCUACCAUAUCAUGUGUCGGUAUGGUACCGAACUGGCUGGUGACUGGUACGGCUAUCGGUAUCGGUUUUCAGAACCUUGCUCACAAGAA
Elaeis guineensis (African oil palm) is the source of this 1284-nucleotide non-coding RNA. The record is from RefSeq and is a predicted model, not a curated record. Lineage: Eukaryota; Viridiplantae; Streptophyta; Magnoliopsida; Arecales; Arecaceae.